GGGACUGGAAAGGACAGAACAAAAAUAGCUCAUAAGAAGUUGAUAGCAAGGAAGAGACAUAGCAAAAAAGCACUUAGCUGCCCUUGAUGAGCUCAAGUCACACAGGCCAGAUGAAUAGAGACAGAAGGAAGUUGCCUGGACCAGCCAAGAUGGUAAAAUAAAGGUCAUCAAGGAGAGACAAAUAAAGAGGUCUACAGACACUGGGGAUGGAACAUACUGCCUGGAGAGACACUAGGGUAUUCUUUAAGACCUCCCUCUCCUCCUCAUCUCACAUCAUUCAGAUGCCCCCCUCCACUAUCUGCUCCUUCAUGUCUCAGAUGAAGAGGUAGCACUUCUUGCCAAGGGUAACCCCUUGUACAAAUAAUUCCAUUCCAUUUUGUCUUCUCCAGGACAUUGCCUUCUCUAUCAUCUCUUCAAUCUUUUUAGAUGAUAGGGAAGCAUCCAGCAGAGAGGAAGGUUGAGAAGUGAAAGGAGAGCACACGGAAGCAGCUAGUAUGGAUGGUUUUCUCAAGGAGCUAAUUUUAGAAGAAAAGAAUAUUAGAUGA
This is a non-coding RNA of Phascolarctos cinereus (koala), 545 nucleotides long. NCBI's taxonomy places the organism in Eukaryota, Metazoa, Chordata, Mammalia, Diprotodontia, Phascolarctidae. The record is from RefSeq and is a predicted model, not a curated record.